UACGUAGGGUGCGAGCGUUAAUCGGAAUUACUGGGCGUAAAGCGUGCGCAGGCGGUUUUGUAAGCCAGAUGUGAAAUCCCCGGGCUUAACCUGGGAAUGGCAUUUGGGACUGCAAGGCUUGAGUGUGGCAGAGGAGACUGGAAUUCCUGGUGUAGCAGUGAAAUGCGUAGAUAUCAGGAGGAACACCGAUGGCGAAGGCAGGUCUCUGGGCCGAAACUGACGCUGAGGAGCGAAAGCGUGGGGAGCAAACAGG
RNAcentral lists this ribosomal RNA (253 nucleotides) under uncultured bacterium. RNAcentral's name for it is "partial 16S ribosomal RNA". It matches the Rfam family "Bacterial small subunit ribosomal RNA", at positions 524 to 776 of the family's 1533-position model. The record is from RNAcentral.